RNAcentral lists this ribosomal RNA (465 nucleotides) under uncultured Streptococcus sp. RNAcentral's name for it is "bacterial SSU rRNA". It matches the Rfam family "Bacterial small subunit ribosomal RNA", at positions 916 to 1381 of the family's 1533-position model. Lineage: Bacteria; Bacillati; Bacillota; Bacilli; Lactobacillales; Streptococcaceae. The record is from RNAcentral.
GACGGGGCCCGCACAAGCGGCGGAGCAUGCUACUUAAUUCGAUGCAACGCGAAGAACCUUACCAAGGCUUGACAUGCGCGGUAAUCCGGUAGAAUGCCGGGUCUUUUGGGAUCGCGUGCAGGUGGUGCAUGGUUGUCGUCAGCUCGUGUCGUGAGAUGUUGGGUUAAGUCCCGCAACGAGCGCAACCCCUAUUGUUAGUUGCCAUCAUUCAGUUUGGGCACUCUAGCGAGACUGCCGGUAAUAAACCGGAGGAAGGUGGGGAUGACGUCAAAUCAUCAUGCCCCUUAUGACCUGGGCUACACACGUGCUACAAUGGUUGGUACAACGAGUUGCGAGUCGGUGACGGCGAGCUAAUCUCUUAAAGCCAAUCUCAGUUCGGAUUGUAGGCUGCAACUCGCCUACAUGAAGUCGGAAUCGCUAGUAAUCGCGGAUCAGCACGCCGCGGUGAAUACGUUCCCGGGCCUU